AACGUAGGACGCGAGCGUUAUCCGGAGUUACUGGGCGUAAAGCGCGGGCAGGCGGUCUGACAAGUCUGAUGUGAAAUCUCCGGGCUUAACCGGGAGAGGCCAUUGGAAACUGACAGGCUGGAGGGCAGUAGAGGUAGGCGGAAUUCCGGGUGGAGUGGUGAAAUGCGUAGAUAUCGAGAGGAACACCUGCGGCGAAGGCGGGUUGCUGGGCCGACACUGACGCUGAGGCGCGAAAGCCAGGGGAGCGAACGGG
RNAcentral lists this ribosomal RNA (253 nucleotides) under uncultured bacterium. RNAcentral describes it as "partial 16S ribosomal RNA". It matches the Rfam family "Bacterial small subunit ribosomal RNA", at positions 524 to 776 of the family's 1533-position model. The record is from RNAcentral.